Molecule: long non-coding RNA, 1699 nt
Organism: Gavialis gangeticus (Gharial)
Lineage: Eukaryota; Metazoa; Chordata; Crocodylia; Gavialidae
Exons: 4
Source: RefSeq, a predicted model, not a curated record
UGGGGGGGACACCCUCCAUGGCAAUAACACCUCCCUCUCUCCUCCUUCCAGAUCUAGAGAUGCUGGGGAGAGAGGCCACUGCUGGGCCCCUCUCCCUUUUCUUAUUGAAAUGAAGGGCGAUGGGGGGAAAGCAUUGAAAAUAGCUUUUCAGCUCCCAGCCUGCAAGGGUUUCUUCCCUCCCUCCCCCUUUCUUCCCUUUGAAUCGAACCAGAUGUCUCUCCCAUGAAAUGAGAUUGCCUGGCUCUUGCUGGAGAGAGACAAUGCGGGAAGAUGGGAGAUCCCCCAUCCAGCGCACUCCACUGCAGCCCUGGCAGAGACCGUGUCUGCAUCUCUGGCUGGGCGUGAGGGGGGUGUGGGGGCAGAAGGGAGGUUGGUGAUAGAAGAAGGAAUUUGCUGCCCCCCCAUCACUGUAUUAUUUCCCCCCUUUUCUUUUUGCUCUCAGCGCUUUGCCAACAAGGUCUCUCUCUCUCUCUCUCUCUCUCUCUCUCUCUCUCUCUCUCUCUCUCUCUCUCUCUCUCUCUCUUCUGGGUUUGACAGCAGAAGAGCUCAGCUGGGGAAUGAACUCAGCAGCUGCACAAGGAAAUGUCUCAUGCGGUGACUCAACAAGACUGAUGUGGUCAGCUCUGCCCAUCUUUCAUGAGUCCUGUUCAGUGCCCAGAUCGCCAGCCCCCGGUCUCAGUCCCAGCCUUUGGAUGCUGUCUGCCUGCACAUGUCCAGCAGUGGAAGAGAUUGGGAGCCAGGAUCCCCAGCAGCCUGCUCUUCCUGGAGAUACCUAGCCCCGUGCCCCUGGUGAUACCAGCUCUGGAUCCAUGGCACGACAGCUUACAGAUGUCUGCCAUGUCGUGGGAGCUGCCCCGAGCCUCUUGGUUUGCUGCUAUAGCCAUGGAGGGGCAGAGAGCCAGGCAGGCACUGCCAGGAGCGCAGCUGGGGGCCGCAGCGAUGCAGCCCGUCAGCUGUCGGCAGGGGAGCCGGUGCCAGUGUUUUGCUCCCUGACAGUGGCUUCAGCUUCAUGUGACAGGCAACCGGCUGGCGAAAACACAGACUCAAAGCCACUGCCUCUGAGUCACCGGUGCUCAGUGCCGGACAGGGGAGUCACCAGGCGUGGCGAUUCUGGGUGUCGAAAGACCUGGUCCUGCCUUUCCCAGCGCCAAAGCCAGCAGCCGGGAUGAUCAGCCGAAGCCUGGGGGUGUCUGUGCUUUCCUGCAAUCCCAGCGCACGGUGCCCGAGUCCCCUUGACGCCUGUCCCAAGGGGUGGAUGCAUCAAACCCAGCACCGGUGCUGUGCAGGGUUGUGGGGGGGGGCACAGGGAUCAGCCCCAGAAGAAGGAUCCGGUCGGACUGGAGUCAGCCUCGCAGCCUGGCACAGACAGGUCAGAGCCUCCGCUCCUGGGGUCCCAGGGCAUUGCCCAGCCUGCUCCGUGGGCAACAGCACGGAGGGGGUGUGGAGACUCCUUGGAGGCCAAGUUCCCUUCCCCACGCCGCUGCGGCCUGGCUGCCUCCACCUUUUGAAUCCGGAUUCAACUCCAGCUGUGUAAACAGAGUCACUCCAGAUUGACGCUGGCGGGGGUGAGAGCAGGGGAGGCUGAGGGCCCCUUGCUCCAUCCUGCCCAGCAUCUCUCCCACUGCCCUCCCCAGGCCUGGGGGAAGCUGAGCUGCUGCCCCCUGAGCAUCCUGCCCACGGCUGGUCCAAAGUGCCAGUG